Molecule: ribosomal RNA, 424 nt
Filed under: uncultured Muribaculaceae bacterium
Lineage: Bacteria; Pseudomonadati; Bacteroidota; Bacteroidia; Bacteroidales; Muribaculaceae
Description: bacterial SSU rRNA
Rfam family: Bacterial small subunit ribosomal RNA
Source: RNAcentral
GUGAGGAAUAUUGGUCAAUGGGCGGGAGCCUGAACCAGCCAAGUCGCGUGAGGGACGACGGUCCUAUGGAUUGUAAACCUCUUUUGUCGGGGAACAAAGGCGCCCACGGGUGGGCGGAUGAGUGUACCCGAAGAAAAAGCAUCGGCUAACUCCGUGCCAGCAGCCGCGGUAAUACGGAGGAUGCGAGCGUUAUCCGGAUUUAUUGGGUUUAAAGGGUGCGUAGGCGGACAGUCAAGUCAGCGGUAAAAAUGCGGUGCUCAACGCCGUACAGCCGUUGAAACUGGCAGUCUUGAGUGGGCGAGAAGUAUGCGGAAUGCGUGGUGUAGCGGUGAAAUGCAUAGAUAUCACGCAGAACUCCGAUUGCGAAGGCAGCAUACCGGCGCCCGACUGACGCUGAGGCACGAAAGCGUGGGUAUCGAACAGG